Molecule: ribosomal RNA, 253 nt
Filed under: uncultured bacterium
Lineage: Bacteria
Description: partial 16S ribosomal RNA
Rfam family: Bacterial small subunit ribosomal RNA
Source: RNAcentral
UACAGAGGUCCCGAGCGUUGUUCGGAUUCAUUGGGCGUAAAGGGUGCGUAGGCUGCGCGGAAAGUUGGGUGUGAAAUCCCUCGGCUCAACCGAGGAACUGCGCCCAAAACUGCCGUGCUCGAGGAAGAUAGAGGUAAGCGGAACUUACGGUGGAGCGGUGAAAUGCGUUGAUAUCGUAAGGAACACCUGUGGCGAAAGCGGCUUACUGGGUCUUUUCUGACGCUGAUGCACGAAAGCUAGGGGAGCAAACGGG